This 253-nucleotide ribosomal RNA is filed under the name uncultured bacterium. RNAcentral describes it as "partial 16S ribosomal RNA". It matches the Rfam family "Bacterial small subunit ribosomal RNA", at positions 524 to 776 of the family's 1533-position model. The record is from RNAcentral.
UACGUAGGGGGCUAGCGUUGUCCGGAAUCAUUGGGCGUAAAGAGCGUGUAGGCGGUCCGGUAAGUCCGUUGUGAAAGUCAGGGGCUCAACCCUUGAAUGCCGGCGGAUACUGUCGGGCUAGAGUCCGGAAGAGGCGAGUGGAAUUCCCGGUGUAGCGGUGAAAUGCGCAGAUAUCAGGAGGAACACCCAUAGCGAAGGCAGCUUGCUGGGACGUUACUGACGCUAAGGCGCGAAAGCGUGGGGAGCGAACAGG